GCAACAAAGAAAACCACUGCUACAGAAAACACAUUUAUGUACUUUUACCCUUUACUUGAAACCUAUUAGUCACUGAGAUGUGAAGAGACUCACUGUAGUUUCUGCAGUUUACAUUGUGGAUCCUCCAGUAGAGCAGAGAGCAGCUUCACUCCUGAGUCUCCUGGUUUAUUAUCACUCAGAUUCAGUUCUGUCAGGUGUGAGGGGUUUGAUCUCAGAGCUGAAAUCAGAGCAGCACAGCCUUCCUC
Molecule: long non-coding RNA, 245 nt
Organism: Cyprinus carpio (common carp)
Lineage: Eukaryota; Metazoa; Chordata; Actinopteri; Cypriniformes; Cyprinidae
Exons: 2
Source: RefSeq, a predicted model, not a curated record